GACGAACGCUGGCGGCGUGCUUAACACAUGCAAGUCGAGCGGUAAGGCCCUUUCGGGGGUACACGAGCGGCGAACGGGUGAGUAACACGUGGGUGACCUGCCCUCAGCUCUGGGAUAAGCCUGGGAAACCGGGUCUAAUACCGGAUAUGACUCCAUGACGCAUGUUGUGGGGUGGAAAGCCUUGUGCGGCUGAGGAUGGGCCCGCGGCCUAUCAGCUUGUUGGUGGGGNGAUGGCCUACCAAGGCGACGACGGGUAGGCCGGCCUGAGAGGGCGACCGGCCACACUGGGACUGAGACACGGCCCAGACUCCUACGGGAGGCGAGCAGUGGGGAAUCUUGCGCAAUGGGCGAAAGCCUGACGCAGCGACGCCGCGUGAGGGAUGACGGCCU
This 390-nucleotide ribosomal RNA is filed under the name uncultured bacterium. RNAcentral's name for it is "bacterial SSU rRNA". It matches the Rfam family "Bacterial small subunit ribosomal RNA", at positions 28 to 417 of the family's 1533-position model. The record is from RNAcentral.